UUUUUGCAUUAGGGAUUGUAGCGGCAUCCUUUUAAUUUUUUAGUUUAAAAAUUAAAAGAUAAAGCGAAUAGCCCGACCUCUU
Molecule: small RNA, 82 nt
Organism: Gillisia sp. Hel1_33_143
Lineage: Bacteria; Pseudomonadati; Bacteroidota; Flavobacteriia; Flavobacteriales; Flavobacteriaceae
Rfam family: Flavo-1 RNA
Source: Rfam